This is an RNA transcript of Oncorhynchus tshawytscha (Chinook salmon), 2970 nucleotides long. RefSeq lists it as uncharacterized. The transcript has 5 exons. The record is from RefSeq and is a predicted model, not a curated record. Lineage: Eukaryota; Metazoa; Chordata; Actinopteri; Salmoniformes; Salmonidae.
GUUGUGGUUCCGGACACUGCAACAUGGGGUGGUGGGGGUGUGUUUGGGUCGAAACACACGAAUAUGAAGAAAAUGAAGAAAUCUACCAAGAUGAUGAUGAGCAGAUGGAAGGAGAGUCAAGAGGAGAAGGGAGGAAAUGGAGAGAUUCAGGAUGACGACGGAGAAAGAGAGGUGGAGAGCGAAAUGCCGUUAGUGCACCUCCAUCAAGAUCGACAUUCAGUCAGGUUGCAUGCUAAAAUGUCCGCCAUAGAGGAAGAGGAGGAGGAGGAGGAGGAGAAGAGGAGCGGUGAGGCUACGCAGGAGUCGCCAACGAUGGAGCGGCCCAGCCAAGCUGAGACGGAGAGGAAGCCUGUGGGACACCAUGCACGUUUUCAGAGCUCCUUCAGCUCUUUCAAGUUCAACUUCAGUUCCAUCAGCUUGGUGGACGAGAUUCUAACAGGAGAUGAGUGGUCACCAUUCCUGUCUAUAAGGGACAGUCCAGCCCCCUCACUGUCCGUUUUCCAAUCAGAGGCUGCUAGCCAACACGGUUAUGAUGAAGGCGACCAAUUAAAGACUGGACCAGAGUUGCGCCUUCCCAACGACGUUCAACAUAACCACGAGGACAUAGGCCUUUCUUUAUACGAGGCUGUCAGCUUCAGCCAAUCAAGUCCGAAUGAGAUUGUGGACAACCAAUCGGACAACAGACAACAGGAAGUAGACAACAACAAUGACACAGGAGCUGACGCCAUUGCUGUCAUCAAACCGAAGAUAUUAUUGGAAAAUGAUGCAGCGGAGGAGAGUGAGUUGGACCACUCCAGACCCAUAUCUAAGGACACCCAUGACACUGUUGAAUUAUGCAAGUCCCCCAUAAGGACCCAAUCAAAGGACCUUCUUGACUUCCUCUGUGUUGAGGAACAGAGACCUUCAAUGUAAGAUGCACUGCAAUCAAAGCCCCUGAAAUCAAAUUCCUCAAACCCUCUCCUCCUUCCACACUCUCUCCCACAUCACUCCCUUCUUCCUCCUCUCCUUCCUCCUCCCUCUCUUCCUCCUCCUCUCCCUCCUAUGUCUUUCCGUCCUCUUUCUACAACAUCCCUCCGUCUGCUGAAAAACAGGACCCUGUGACAUCACCAACACAGGACAACCUCUCUGUUAAGACCACUGAAAGCAGCAGAAAGCCAGGUUCAAGUCCCAAGCCGCCUCUGUCCAAAUUCAUGACAGUCCUGAAAGACAAAACCAAGAGGAAGCUUAAAAACUAGGUAUUGGUGAUCCAAUAGUAACCCAUAGCUCCUUUUCAUAGCCCCUACUUCUAAGCCCUAUCCACUACCUCUUUAGUGUUUACAGUUUUAGGUGUGUAAGCGAUAACACCGCAGAUGCACACAGUAAUGAAACAUGUAUGCCUAUCUUUGAUCAAAUGAUUAUCUUGCUAUAUUGAGUGUGUUACCAACACUUUUAGUCACUAAUAGAUUUUCUCUAACAUCAGUGUUAUCUGAAUGAGAUUCUGUAAGAUCUGAAUAAAUGUUGUUUUUAUUUAUUUACCCUUUUUCUCCCCAAUUUCGUGGUAUCCAAUUGGUAGUUACAGUCUUGUCUCAUCGCAGCAACUCCCACAUGGACUUGGGAGAGGAGAAGAUCAAGAGCUGUGCAUCCUCUGAAACACAACCCCAUCAAGCCGCACUGCUUUUCUUGACACAAUGCCCACUUAACCCGGUGUGUUUCCUCUGGUUUUGAACUUUUGCCUGUCCACGACCAUUCUCUUGCACCUUAAACUCCAACCAUCUGCCUCCUGUGUCUGCAUUUGGGUCUCGCCUUGUGUCAUGAUAAUGCAAAGCAAAAAAUAAGGAACAUUUGCACAAUGUGUUCUGAAAAAUAGCAAAUGUAUUCUCACCUCCUCCCUGUAAAAUGUUUUUAAUACAUCUACAGUAAUAGUGGAAUGAUAGUGUUUCACAAUAUUUAUUUAUUGAGGCACAUAAAAUUGCAUUUUAAUGGUGCACCCUUCUUACUGGUCAACAAAAGACGGACACCUGGUUCUUGUUGUCAAAUUGACUGGGGCCAGAAAAUCUAUUGUUGUCAAAUGGGCCGUGCGCUAAACGAUUGUGCCACUGCUGAUCUUGUCGGAGGCUGUGACACGUACAAUCGGUUAGUGCGCGGAGCCACUCAAAUUACCUCGAGCAACUCGCCCCUCCUUUGGCACAAUCCGAAGUGAUUUGUUUAACAAUCAGAUAAAACAUCAUGACUGGUUGUGUUCAUGGCUACAUUAAAAGGUAAUACAUUUGUAUAGUUCAUUAGAUGUCUGAACUAUAAAUCUAUGGAACGCCGUUUGGGUCUUUACGUGUCAAUUAAAGAUAAACAUCAAAUAACACUUUGACGUGUUAAAUAAGCUUUUAAUUUGACACAUCAAAUAACACAAUUAUAUUUGAUGAAUUUGCACGUGUAAGCCAAGCGCCACCGCUAUCAGUAUCACUGUCAAAGCUGUACAAAAAAAGUCAGCAGACGAGCACACACUGGCCACGAACGAUGUGUUUACAGUACCGCGAUGGUAAUAAGGCAUUAUUUGUUCGACCGCAACUUCUGGGGUAGCUUGCUAGCACCAAUACAACCAGUCUGAAAACAAUGACCAGUAGAAACUGCAGUCAUUUUCAUCAUCCUUAACAAUGACUUAGGAAUCCUUGUGAGUAAGUAUUAGCUACGUAGCCACUUGUUGUUCGCCUAUUGAAAUUGAACUUCAGUUCAUGGAAAUAAAUGGCUAGCCAGCUGCCAAACCUUGUUGCCCAAAGCUAACGUUAUAAGCAGCCAGCUAGCUUCACCUGGCUAGUGACGCUCGACUGGACGCUCGACUUUGAGUUUUAUAUUUCCAUGGAAAUACAUGGGUAGCCAUGAGAAAGACCCCCUGAUCCCAAUAGUGAUCGACUAUCGAGGAUCUCUUAUGGGGCGCAAUCGGGCGAUUUAGGCUUGUACACAAUCGCCCAACAUUCUCAUUCUCUCUCUCUCAUCCUC